This 135-nucleotide non-coding RNA is filed under the name uncultured Exiguobacterium sp. RNAcentral describes it as "glmS glucosamine-6-phosphate activated ribozyme". It matches the Rfam family "glmS glucosamine-6-phosphate activated ribozyme aptamer", at positions 5 to 154 of the family's 167-position model. From Rfam's summary of the family: This entry contains a glucosamine-6-phosphate activated ribozyme that is found in the mRNA for GlmS. GlmS is an enzyme that uses fructose-6-phosphate and glutamine to generate glucosamine-6-phosphate. The record is from RNAcentral. Lineage: Bacteria; Bacillati; Bacillota; Bacilli; Caryophanales.
AAGUGGAAGCGCCAGAACUUCUAUGGAGUUGACGAGGACGAAGGUGAUCGAGAUUUCGGCGGAUGCCUUACAGUCGCGUGUCACGACUGAGAGAGUUUUGAUAAAACGUUCGGGUGACCGGGCGGACAAAACGAG